RNAcentral lists this unclassified non-coding RNA (387 nucleotides) under fungal sp. RNAcentral's name for it is "partial internal transcribed spacer region". The stretch from base 1 to 46 matches the Rfam family "Eukaryotic small subunit ribosomal RNA", at positions 1786 to 1831 of the family's 1831-position model. Lineage: Eukaryota; Fungi. The record is from RNAcentral.
AAGUCGUAACAAGGUUUCCGUAGGUGAACCUGCGGAAGGAUCAUUAACACGUAUCCAACGUAAAAAACCCCCCUGUGAACAUUCAAACCUGCUCUCGUAGCCCAGUGCGAUCCAGCAAUCCCGGUAAAUCAUUGUCGAACAGUAUUGAUUCGGGACUUCUGACAAAUGAGAAGUUACAGUUACGAUUGAGCGGAGAUAGCUGCAUGGCAUCCCGAAGCAGUCAGUGUCUGAAAGUGUCAUUGAUUGAUUGCCAGAGGUCGCUCACCGACCGGCAGACAUGCAACCGGGUCCCCACGCCCCUUUACAACCCCAUUACCUCUGUGAGUCGCGGGAAACUAGCGGCUAAAAAACCUCGAACAACUGUUAACAAUGGAUAUCUUGGUUCUC